Small nucleolar RNA from Lathyrus oleraceus (garden pea), 108 nucleotides. NCBI's taxonomy places the organism in Eukaryota, Viridiplantae, Streptophyta, Magnoliopsida, Fabales, Fabaceae. The record is from RefSeq and is a predicted model, not a curated record.
AACCCAUGGUGUGGACUCAAUCUCAUCAUUUCCUUGAAACGAUCUCAAGCUUUGAAGAGCGAUUCACCAUCAGUUUGCUUAAAGCAAGUUAUCUGAUUCCUUAAUAGU